AAUGAACGCUGGCGGCAUGCCUAACACAUGCAAGUCGAACGAAGGCUUCGGCCUUAGUGGCGCACGGGUGCGUAACGCGUGGGAAUCUGCCCCUUGGUUCGGAAUAACAGUUGGAAACGACUGCUAAUACCGGAUGACGACGUAAGUCCAAAGAUUUAUCGCCGAGGGAUGAGCCCGCGUAGGAUUAGGUAGUUGGUGUGGUAAAGGCGCACCAAGCCGACGAUCCUUAGCUGGUCUGAGAGGAUGAUCAGCCACACUGGGACUGAGACACGGCCCAGACUCCUACGGGAGGCAGCAGUGGGGAAUAUUGGACAAUGGGCGAAAGCCUGAUCCAGCAAUGCCGCGUGAGUGAUGAAGGCCUUAGGGUUGUAAAGCUCUUUUACCCGGGAUGAUAAUGACAGUACCGGGAGAAUAAGCUCCGGCUAACUCCGUGCCAGCAGCCGCGGUAAUACGGAGGGAGCUAGCGUUAUUCGGAAUUACUGGGCGUAAAGCGCACGUAGGCGGCUUUGUAGUAGAG
This 517-nucleotide ribosomal RNA is filed under the name uncultured bacterium. RNAcentral describes it as "bacterial SSU rRNA". It matches the Rfam family "Bacterial small subunit ribosomal RNA", at positions 28 to 591 of the family's 1533-position model. The record is from RNAcentral.